CAAAAGCUGUCAUAAACAGUGUGGAAAUGCCCUGGAGAAUUGCCUCCCAACAUUCUGUGGGUAUGACAGAGGCAGAUGGAGAAUGUGAGAGAAUGACUUCUUAUUACAAGAAGUAAUAAGAAAAUUCCCUCCAGUGUGUGAAUAGAAGCUUCAUGUCCCCAAGAGGAUUUGCACUUGAAAAGAGAUUUAAAAACAAAGCACAGAUCCCACACAAACAAAGCUAUACAAGGUGAAAUUCCAGAAAGUGUGAUUAAGUGAGGAGAUUUUCCAAAGUAGGGAAGAUACUUGGGGGCAACAGGAACUUUCCACAGGAGGCUCCCAGUUGACACACCAGUCUAUCUCCUA
This is a long non-coding RNA of Lontra canadensis (Northern American river otter), 345 nucleotides long. RefSeq lists it as uncharacterized. Lineage: Eukaryota; Metazoa; Chordata; Mammalia; Carnivora; Mustelidae. The record is from RefSeq and is a predicted model, not a curated record. The transcript has 3 exons.